This 207-nucleotide ribosomal RNA is filed under the name uncultured bacterium. Its description in RNAcentral is "partial 16S ribosomal RNA". It matches the Rfam family "Bacterial small subunit ribosomal RNA", at positions 568 to 774 of the family's 1533-position model. The record is from RNAcentral.
UGUGUAGGUGGUUGUGCAAGUCAAGGAUGAAAUCCCGGGGCUUACCUUCGGAACUGUCCUUGAAACUGCUCAACUUGAGGAUGGUUGAGGAAGACGGAAUUCCCGGUGGAGCGGUGAAAUGCGUAGAUAUCGGGAGGAACACCAGAGGCGAAGGCGGUCUUCUGAGCCAUUCCUGACACUGAGACACGAAAGCUAGGGGAGCGAACG